GGCCCGAUGGUCAAGUGGUCAAGACGGGGGCCUCUCACGCCCCAAUCGGGAGUUCGACUCUCCCUCGGGUCACCA
RNAcentral lists this transfer RNA (75 nucleotides) under Bacillota bacterium. Its description in RNAcentral is "tRNA-Glu". It matches the Rfam family "tRNA". Rfam says of the family: Transfer RNA (tRNA) molecules are approximately 80 nucleotides in length. Their secondary structure includes four short double-helical elements and three loops (D, anti-codon, and T loops). The record is from RNAcentral. Lineage: Bacteria; Bacillati; Bacillota. RNAcentral also lists the same sequence under 4 other names.